Molecule: long non-coding RNA, 2618 nt
Filed under: Vigna radiata
Lineage: Eukaryota; Viridiplantae; Streptophyta; Magnoliopsida; Fabales; Fabaceae
Description: long non-coding RNA (VRAD_LNC016781)
Source: RNAcentral
GAUGUUUUCCACUUUCACAGUGUUACUGGAAUUCUACAUAGCGUUGUAUGUAUGUGUCAAUACCCAAUUUCGUCCGGAUUAUUUUUAUAGUUUUAUUGCAUUUUGGUGGUCACAUAUUUAACCUUUUUAUUAUUCAUUUACCUAUUUUCGUUUUUUAGUUCUAUUUAUUUUAUCUUAUUGUUUUUAUUACCCUUUUUCUUUAUUGCUAAUUUUGUUUUUAUUCUAUCUCUUUUUAUUUAUUUUACUUCUUUUCCUUUUAAUUUUUGUUUUUUGUUUUAUUUAUUUAUUUAUUUAUUUACUUUUAUUUUUAUUUUUAUCUUUUCAUUUUGUUUAUAAUUAAAAAAUUAUUAUUAGUUAAAAGGUUUUAAAAUUAGAUUAAAUUAAAAUAAGUUUUAAAAAAAAAAUGAAUGAAAAAAUGAGAAAAAGACAAAUUGGCAAAAAAAAGAGGGGACACAGUGGAGGAAAACGGUUUUCUGCUGCAAGGAGACAAAUUGAUUUUGGGUAGGCAAGGACAAAGGAGUUUUGGGGAGAGCAGAGGCGCGAUUUGGUUUGGCAGAGCAGAGGAGAGGAGAGCAAAAAUCGUUACUAAAAAAAGUGGCAGGCGGGAUGAGACAAUAAGGACAAGGAGGUGGCCAAAAGAGCACAACGAUAACAACCUAAGCAGAAAAGAGGGCACACAGGGGUUGCAUUUUGGUCAUCACUCAUUUUACAAAGAGAAUAGACAGUGAAAAAAGAAAGGAGGAAGGAGCACUGAUUUUUCUCUACAAAGAACAAUUCUCCUACUGCAUCGAGAACGAAGGGAGCUGUGAGAGCAACGUUUGGAACUGCGCCGAGAGAGGAGAAGGAAACCUAUCAGAUACGCGAGGUUGGGGCUGGCAAUCGAGUCUUCAAAAGGUAAGUGAGGCUGCCUUACACUUCAUGUUUUUGUCCUUGAACGUAUUACUGGUGCAUUGCUGCAUACGACUAUUAUCAAAUAUUUUCCUGCUAUGUUGUGAACAUUAUGUAUGGUAUUGAUGUAAUGAAUCCUUCCCGUCACCAUCACUACCCCCACUGUCUCAUGCCCUGUUCUUUCUUCACCCACGGAGUCAACAACCGAGCCAAAAACGAUACCCUAUCAGCACCUUCAUCACACCUUUCUUGGCCACAGCGUAACCACCGCUCCUCCCCUUCCAUUUCCAACGACCACGACGCAGCUACCAAUCUUUCCAAUCCCACAACCCCUCAAACACUGCUUCGACCUUCUUAGCUCACCCCGGUCAUCAUAGUCGUCCUUCACCUGCAAGAGAAAACGAAAACAACGUAAAGCAAACAAACAGUCAGCCAAUGUUCCAGCCCAAACCCCUCACCCUUUUCCAUUUGAUCUCGGCAGCGAGAGACUCUAGUUCAUCGUUCUUCCUCUGAUUCCUCCCUCCUGCAAGAGAGAACAACACUCCAUGCCAAAUCCUCCUUGAAACCAACAGUACCCAUGCUCCGUUCAUCUCCAAUCAUCAAUAGAGGAGUUGAAUCCUCUGUGUCAAAUGCAACCACCAUUCGAAGAACCUUGAAUGCAAACUUGGGAGAGUGCAAUGCUCUUUCUUUAACCCAAACCCAGCAACAUCAUCACCCUCAAUCUGCAUUACAUGAAGUCACAAAAAUAAAACCAAAAAAAGAAGGAACCAGCCAAAUCAGAUUCAACCCCAAAUCCCCAUCAUUCCCACUCGAACCCAUCAUCCUCAAUACACCCACACGCACAAUACAAAACACACACUCACUACACUAUCGGAGGAUCACGCCCAGGCAAGCAGAGCUCGCGUUUCGAAGAGGAAGGUGAAUGCAUAGCUGUUAGAAGUAUGGUCGAGCGGGGAAUGCGCAGCGGCGUCGAUGUCCAACCUCGUCGGUGGUAGCCGUUCGGAAUUCGAAGAGGAAGAAGAGGGGAGGCGUUGCUGCGGUGCGUGAAGAAGAUUCGUGUGGUGGCUGACACGGUUGUGCGAUGGGAGCUCGGGUCGCCUUCUGGAGGCACGAUGAUUGCUCGUGAUGGUGGUCCGGCGAGAGGUUGGCGCCUCGGUGGCGGCGACGCGCGGAGGUUGGGGCGGACUAGGUACGCGAAUGGCGGGCGGUGGUUCUGGCGGCGCGGCGGACGGAUGAGAGUGGUGGCAGGAGGUCCGCGAGUACUUCCUCUAGGUUUUCUCGCUCAGAGAAAAGGGUUGGGAGUCUCUCUGUCUCAAGUUUGAGUGAGUGAGAAAUGAAGGGGAAUGUUUGAACCCCUAUAGGACUCUAGGUCCGAAGGGAGCAAAGAGGGCCUGUGUAGGAUUCUGGGCCAUGCUCUAGUCGCACCCCCCUUUGCUUCCAUCCACAGCCCUUUCAUUUUCUGUCUGGGCCACUGAACCCAAAACUAAAAACCGUCCCAUCCGCACCCCCUAUUUCCCAUUCUUGCACCCUCUUUGAUUUCCAGCUUGGGCCACUGGACCAAGUGAAUAAUAAUCAAAUAAAAAAAAAACUUUUAUUCCCGCACCCCCUUUUUUUAUUCUCACACCGCUCUGUCUCAUUUUUUGGGCUCAUAUUAGGCCAAACAAAAGGUUCUCUCUUGCACAACCCCUUGUUUCAUAUUCACAUCCCCUUUUCCAUUUGGGCUUAGGCCC